Molecule: ribosomal RNA, 873 nt
Filed under: Hydnochaete japonica
Lineage: Eukaryota; Fungi; Basidiomycota; Agaricomycetes; Hymenochaetales; Hymenochaetaceae
Description: eukaryotic LSU rRNA
Rfam family: Eukaryotic large subunit ribosomal RNA
Source: RNAcentral
UAACAAGGAUUCCCCUAGUAACUGCGAGUGAAGCGGGAAAAGCUCAAAUUUAAAAUCUGGCAGGCUCUGCUUGUCCGAGUUGUAAUCUGGAGAAGCGUUUUCCGCGCCGGACCGUGUACAAGUCUCUUGGAAUGGAGCGUCAUAGAGGGUGAGAAUCCCGUCCAUGACACGGACCGCCGGUGCUUUGUGAUACGCUCUCGAAGAGUCGAGUUGUUUGGGAAUGCAGCUCAAAAUGGGUGGUAAAUUCCAUCUAAAGCUAAAUAUUGGCGAGAGACCGAUAGCGAACAAGUACCGUGAGGGAAAGAUGAAAAGCACUUUGGAAAGAGAGUUAAACAGUACGUGAAAUUGUUGAAAGGGAAACGCUUGAAGUCAGUCGCGUCUUGCGGAGCUCAGCCUUGCUUUUGCUUGGUUUACUCUCCGUUUGACGGGUCAGCAUCAAUUUUGACCGGUGGAGAAGGUCCUGCAGGAAUGUGGCGUCGUUUCGGCGACGUGUUAUAGCCCCAGGUCGUAUACAUCGGUUGGGAUUGAGGACCGCAGCACGCCCUUGUGGCCGGGGGUUCGCCCUACGUUUUGUGCGUUAGGAUGCUGGCAAAAUGGCUUUAAGCGACCCGUCUUGAAACACGGACCAAGGAGUCUAACAUGUCUGCGAGUGUUCGGGUGGAAAACCCUUGCGCGUAAUGAAAGUGAAAGUUGGGAACCUCCGCAAGGGGGUGCACCGACGCCCGGCCCUGAAGUUUACGGACGGUGCUGCGGUAGAGCAUAUAUGUUGGGACCCGAAAGAUGGUGAACUAUGCCUGAAUAGGGUGAAGCCAGAGGAAACUCUGGUGGAGGCUCGUAGCGAUUCUGACGUGCAAAUCGAUCGUCAAAUUUGGG